Molecule: non-coding RNA, 1301 nt
Organism: Zonotrichia albicollis (white-throated sparrow)
Lineage: Eukaryota; Metazoa; Chordata; Aves; Passeriformes; Passerellidae
Source: RefSeq, a predicted model, not a curated record
AGAUGCCUGCAGCCUGCUGGAGUGGCAGGGUGUUGCUCUGUGUGGGCUGGAACCCUCUGGAAUUCUAUGGUGGCACUCUGUGUGUUAUGGCCACCUCAACUGUGCCAUGUGCCAGCACUGACCAGCUGGGAAUACUGGGAAGCCGAAUCACCCCUUCCACCCUUGGCUGCUGUGGUUACCAGACAGGAAAACAGAGCAGUGAUUCAACUGAAAGGCUGAAGAAUUUCCUUUGUGCAGUCUGGGAGAUGGUUCAUUCUCAUGGGUGGAGGCAGAUGUAAAAGAAAACGACUUGGGUCUCCCACACAGAGGAUGUCACAGUUUUAUGUGGUGUAAAUGAUACUUCUCAUUACCCGGAUGGGCUAAGAAGGCAACAGCUUCUGGGAGGUGUAAAAGUGUGAGAAAAAUUGUCAAGAACUGAACAACAGCAACAUGAUGCUGAAAUUAUAUUUGGGUUGCUAAUCAGAACAAGAGCCUUUAACACUGUUAAUAGGAACAUUAGCAAAGUGUGACUUGAAGAUACCCACAUUUGAAGGAAAUAGUUGAUGUUACAGCACAACUGAACAAAAAAUCCUUUAAAAGCUGUGGAAGAGGCUGUUGUUGAUGCUAAUAUAUGUUGAAAGCUUGAAAUUAAUAAAAGAGUUUAGCAAGGAAAGGCUUCUACAUUACUGAGGAGACAGAAGAUGAACAGAGAGAAGAAAGUACUUUUUAAAUCAGCGGAUCUGCUUUAAAGCCAACCUGAAUAGAGAUGGUAGGAGCUGAAAGCAGGAAGGAGAGAGUCUGCUGAAGUGUUCUGAACAAGUGCAGGACCCAGGCCCAAGAGGUGUUGAACAUUGCUGAUGAGGAAUCAGGUACCUUCAACAUUAUGUGACUGCAGAGUGUGCUCUGAGGCAGCUGAAACAAUAUUUGAAGGAAGAAUGUGAAAACAUUUUGGGCCACUGGGUAUCAGGCAGCAGGGUUGCUGUGCUAAUGAAAAUUUGGAACACCAUUGCAAACUGAAGUGUUUGACAGCAGCAGGAAUUUUUCUGUGCUGUUUAUGAGGUAUAUAAAAAGGAAAACUGAUGAAAAAGGGAAAACCUUUGAAAAACUCUUCAGUUCCAGCUCUAUUUCUAUUGUCUAUCAACAUAUUGCAAGCAGGAAAAAAAUGAAACAUCAGGAGCUAAAACUAUGCGAAGAAGACAGGCUGAGGGCCUUGUAGGUAUGGGACAGAAAGAGGCGUGGCAUGUGCUGGAGAUGGAGCUGAAGGACUAAGAAUUCUGGCAAGCUGGGUGCUGAUCCUUGAACAAUGUUGUCUUCAGCAACAG